RNAcentral lists this ribosomal RNA (464 nucleotides) under Salmonella enterica. RNAcentral's name for it is "bacterial SSU rRNA". It matches the Rfam family "Bacterial small subunit ribosomal RNA", at positions 1 to 461 of the family's 1533-position model. Lineage: Bacteria; Pseudomonadati; Pseudomonadota; Gammaproteobacteria; Enterobacterales; Enterobacteriaceae. RNAcentral also lists the same sequence under 1 other name. The record is from RNAcentral.
AAAUUGAAGAGUUUGAUCAUGGCUCAGAUUGAACGCUGGCGGCAGGCCUAACACAUGCAAGUCGAACGGUAACAGGAAGCAGCUUGCUGCUUUGCUGACGAGUGGCGGACGGGUGAGUAAUGUCUGGGAAACUGCCUGAUGGAGGGGGAUAACUACUGGAAACGGUGGCUAAUACCGCAUAACGUCGCAAGACCAAAGAGGGGGACCUUCGGGCCUCUUGCCAUCAGAUGUGCCCAGAUGGGAUUAGCUUGUUGGUGAGGUAACGGCUCACCAAGGCGACGAUCCCUAGCUGGUCUGAGAGGAUGACCAGCCACACUGGAACUGAGACACGGUCCAGACUCCUACGGGAGGCAGCAGUGGGGAAUAUUGCACAAUGGGCGCAAGCCUGAUGCAGCCAUGCCGCGUGUAUGAAGAAGGCCUUCGGGUUGUAAAGUACUUUCAGCGGGGAGGAAGGUGUUGUGGUU